This 547-nucleotide ribosomal RNA is filed under the name uncultured Glomus. RNAcentral describes it as "SSU rRNA". It matches the Rfam family "Eukaryotic small subunit ribosomal RNA", at positions 548 to 1098 of the family's 1831-position model. The record is from RNAcentral. Lineage: Eukaryota; Fungi; Glomeromycota; Glomeromycetes; Glomerales; Glomeraceae.
UUGGAGGGCAAGUCUGGUGCCAGCAGCCGCGGUAAUUCCAGCUCCAAUAGCGUAUAUUAAAGUUGUUGCAGUUAAAAAGCUCGUAGUUGAAUUUCGGGGUUAGUAGGUUGGUCAUGCCUCUGGUAUGUACUGGUCUCACUGAUUCCUCCUUCCUGAUGAACCGUAAUGCCAUUAAUUUGGUGUUGCGGGGAAUUUGGACUGUUACUUUGAAAAAAUUAGAGUGUUUAAAGCAAGCUAACGCUUGAAUACAUUAGCAUGGAAUAAUGAAAUAGGACGUUCGAUCCUAUUUUGUUGGUUUCUAGGAUUGACGUAAUGAUUAAUAGGGAUAGUUGGGGGCAUUAGUAUUCAAUUGUCAGAGGUGAAAUUCUUGGAUUUAUUGAAGACUAACUACUGCGAAAGCAUUUGCCAAGGAUGUUUUCAUUAAUCAAGAACGAAAGUUAGGGGAUCGAAGACGAUCAGAUACCGUCGUAGUCUUAACCAUAAACUAUGCCGACUAGGGAUCGGAUGAUGUUAUUUUUAAUGACUCAUUCGGCGCCUUACGGGAAAC